RNAcentral lists this unclassified non-coding RNA (231 nucleotides) under plant metagenome. RNAcentral's name for it is "partial contains small subunit ribosomal RNA, internal transcribed spacer 1, and 5.8S ribosomal RNA". The record is from RNAcentral.
UCUCCGUUGGUGAACCAGCGGAGGGAUCAUUACAGAGUUGCAAAACUCCCAAACCAUCGUGAACGUUACCUAUCCCGUUGCUUCGGCGGGCGGCCCGGGCCCCCCGCCCGGCGCCCUCCUGCCCCCCGUGGGCGCCCGCCGGAGGUAAACCAAACCCUCGAAUUGCAUUGCCUCUCUGAGUCUUCUGUACUGAAUAAGUCAAAACUUUCGACAACGGAUCUCUUGGUUCUG